AUUGAACGCUAGCGGCAGGCCUAAUACAUGCAAGUCGAACGGUGUCUUCGGACAUAGUGGCGCACGGGUGCGUAACACGUAUGCAACCUACCUUACAUUGGGGGAUAGCCUUUCGAAAGGGAGAUUAAUACCGCAUAAGACAGUAGCUGGGCAUCCAGCAGCUGUUAAAGAUUUAUCGAUGUAAGCUGGGCAUGCGUCCAAUUAGCUAGUUGGUGAGGUAACGGCUCACCAAGGCUAUGAUUGGUAGGGGAACUGAGAGGUCAAUCCCCCACACUGGCACUGAGAUACGGGCCAGACUCCUACGGGAGGCAGCAGUAGGGAAUAUUGGGCAAUGGACGCAAGUCUGACCCAGCCAUGCCGCGUGCAGGAUGAAGGCGUUAUGCGUUGUAAACUGCUUUUAUACAGGAAGAAACGACUCUUGCGAGAGGCAUUGACGGUACUGUAUGAAUAAGCACCGGCUAACUCCGUGCCAGCAGCCGCGGUAA
Molecule: ribosomal RNA, 485 nt
Filed under: uncultured bacterium
Lineage: Bacteria
Description: partial 16S ribosomal RNA
Rfam family: Bacterial small subunit ribosomal RNA
Source: RNAcentral